AUGCAAGUCGAACGGAAAGGCUCAUGCUUGCUUGAGUACUCGAGUGGCGAACGGGUGAGUAACACGUGGGUGAUCUGCCCUGCACUUUGGGAUAAGCCUGGGAAACUGGGUCUAAUACCAGAUAGGACCCUUACUUGGAUGUUUGGGUGGAAAGUUUUUUCGGUGUGGGAUGAGCUCGCGGCCUAUCAGCUUGUUGGUGGGGUAAUGGCCUACCAAGGCGUCGACGGGUAGCCGGCCUGAGAGGGUGUACGGCCACAUUGGGACUGAGAUACGGCCCAGACUCCUACGGGAGGCAGCAGUGGGGAAUAUUGCACAAUGGGCGCAAGCCUGAUGCAGCGACGCCGCGUGGGGGAUGACGGCCUUCGGGUUGUAAACUCCUUUCGCCAAAGACGAAUUUGGACGGUAUUUGGAGAAGAAGCACCGGCUAACUACGUGCCAGCAGCCGCGGUAAUACGUAGGGUGCGAGCGUUGUCCGGAAUUACUGGGCGUAAAGAGCUCGUAGGUGGUUUGUCGCGUCGUUUGUGGAAUACCGGGGCUUAACUUCGGGGUUGCAUACGAUACGGGCAUAACUUGAGUGCUGUAGGGGAGACUGGAAUUCCUGGUGUAGCGGUGAAAUGCGCAGAUAUCAGGAGGAACACCGAUGGCGAAGGCAGGUCUCUGGGCAGUAACUGACGCUGAGGAGCGAAAGCAUGGGGAGCGAACAGGAUUAGAUACCCUGGUAGUCCAUGCCGUAAACGGUGGGCGCUAGGUGUGAGUCCCUUCCACGGGGUUCGUGCCGUAGCUAACGCAUUAAGCGCCCCGCCUGGGGAGUACGGCCGCAAGGCUAAAACUCAAAGGAAUUGACGGGGGCCCGCACAAGCGGCGGAGCAUGUGGAUUAAUUCGAUGCAACGCGAAGAACCUUACCUGGGCUUGACAUACACCAAAUCGCCCCAGAGAUGUGGUUUCCCUUGUGGUUGGUGUACAGGUGGUGCAUGGUUGUCGUCAGCUCGUGUCGUGAGAUGUUGGGUUAAGUCCCGCAACGAGCGCAACCCUUGUCUUAUGUUGCCAGCACGUUAUGGUGGGGACUCAUGAAAGACUGCCGGGGUUAACUCGGAGGAAGGUGGGGAUGACGUCAAAUCAUCAUGCCCCUUAUGUCCAGGGCUUCCCC
Molecule: ribosomal RNA, 1148 nt
Filed under: Corynebacterium sp.
Lineage: Bacteria; Bacillati; Actinomycetota; Actinomycetes; Mycobacteriales; Corynebacteriaceae
Description: bacterial SSU rRNA
Rfam family: Bacterial small subunit ribosomal RNA
Source: RNAcentral